RNAcentral lists this transfer RNA (70 nucleotides) under Zosterops borbonicus. RNAcentral describes it as "tRNA-Pro". It matches the Rfam family "tRNA". Rfam says of the family: Transfer RNA (tRNA) molecules are approximately 80 nucleotides in length. Their secondary structure includes four short double-helical elements and three loops (D, anti-codon, and T loops). Further hydrogen bonds mediate the characteristic L-shaped molecular structure. tRNAs have two regions of fundamental functional importance: the anti-codon, which is responsible for specific mRNA codon recognition, and the 3' end, to which the tRNAs corresponding amino acid is attached (by aminoacyl-tRNA synthetases). tRNAs cope with the degeneracy of the genetic code in two manners: having more than one tRNA (with a specific anti-codon) for a particular amino acid; and 'wobble' base-pairing, i.e. permitting non-standard base-pairing at the 3rd anti-codon position. Lineage: Eukaryota; Metazoa; Chordata; Aves; Passeriformes; Zosteropidae. The record is from RNAcentral.
CAGAGAGUAGUUUAAUGUAAAAUGCCAGCUUUGGGAGUUGGUGAUGAAGGUUUGAUUCCUUUCUUUCUGA